This 614-nucleotide ribosomal RNA is filed under the name Lodderomyces parapsilosis. RNAcentral's name for it is "Candida parapsilosis partial large subunit ribosomal RNA". It matches the Rfam family "Eukaryotic large subunit ribosomal RNA", at positions 37 to 667 of the family's 3401-position model. Lineage: Eukaryota; Fungi; Ascomycota; Pichiomycetes; Serinales; Debaryomycetaceae. The record is from RNAcentral.
UGCAUAUCAAAAAGCGGAGGAAAAGAAACCAACAGGGAUUGCCUUAGUAGCGGCGAGUGAAGCGGCAAAAGCUCAAAUUUGAAAUCUGGCACUUUCAGUGUCCGAGUUGUAAUUUGAAGAAGGUAUCUUUGGGUCUGGCUCUUGUCUAUGUUUCUUGGAACAGAACGUCACAGAGGGUGAGAAUCCCGUGCGAUGAGAUGUCCCAGACCUAUGUAAAGUUCCUUCGAAGAGUCGAGUUGUUUGGGAAUGCAGCUCUAAGUGGGUGGUAAAUUCCAUCUAAAGCUAAAUAUUGGCGAGAGACCGAUAGCGAACAAGUACAGUGAUGGAAAGAUGAAAAGAACUUUGAAAAGAGAGUGAAAAAGUACGUGAAAUUGUUGAAAGGGAAGGGCUUGAGAUCAGACUUGGUAUUUUGUAUGUUACUCUCUCGGGGGUGGCCUCUACAGUUUACCGGGCCAGCAUCAGUUUGAGCGGUAGGAUAAGUGCAAAGAAAUGUGGCACUGCUUCGGUAGUGUGUUAUAGUCUUUGUCGAUACUGCCAGCUUAGACUGAGGACUGCGGCUUCGGCCUAGGAUGUUGGCAUAAUGAUCUUAAGUCGCCCGUCUUGAAACACGGACC